ACUCUUCUACUUAGAGUUGAUAUUUGUAUUGAAAGAAAGAAAGGAAGAAAGGAAGAAAGGAAGAGAGAAAGGAAGAAAGGAAGAGAGAAAGGAAGGAAAGAAAGAAAAAAACUCAAUUCACUUCAAUUCUUCAAUGAUUUCUAAUUUGAGAGAAUGAUACAACCCAUACUGCACUGGACAUGGAUUCAAGAAGAUCUAGGUUCAAAUUCUGUCUUAAACAUUUUGUUAGCUGUUAGACUCUGGAUAAAUCACUUAAUCUCCCUUUACCCCAAUGUUCUCAGCUGUAUCAGAUUCCUUGGUGUGGAUGACCUUAUACUCAGCUAAAUCAAAAGAACCAUCCAACUUUAGAAGUGUAUAUAGGGGAAAACCAACCAAGCAACCAAAAAAAAUACCUAUCCUUGGAUAUAUCAGAGAGGGAAGAGCUGAAAUCUUGUUUGGAAAUUUUAAUAAAGUCAAAAGAAGAUGCUUACCCAUCCACAGAGAAAAACAGAAUUCUUUAUCUGAAGAGGUUAAAUGACUUACCAGCAAGUGGCAGAACCGUACUCCAGCCCAGGUCUUAUGACUUGACUUCACAUCCAGAAUUCUUGCCUCUCUGGCUUUUUGACACAUGCAUAAAGACAAGAAAUAACUCAGCCUAUUGAAAUGAAUAAUCCAAAAACAGACUCUAACCCCCAACAACCCUUCCUCCAUCAAUCAGCAGUAUGAAACUGUCAAUUGUGUAAAGUUUUUCUGAAGACAUAAUUUCUUGAAUAUUGGUGACCAGCUGCAAUAAGAUCUCAUUCAUUACUCUUUCACAAUCCCACUGAUUUUAUGGAACUGCAAUAGGCUAAUAAUUUCAGGGAGCAGAACAGCUCAUUUUUCAGAAAAAGAAAUUAUAGCCAAAAAUAUAUGUACUGAAUUGGCUAGAUAACAAGGCAGGAAAUGCAAUGUUUCAUAAUCUGAAUUUUGGAAUAUUUAGCUGUGUUCAAUUUUCCUGAAGUAUCUGGCCUACUCUUGACAGCGACUAAGAAACCAAUAGGGCUGCCUGAGAUAAUUACAUAGCAUGCACUGCUCUACUUCAUAUGCAGUCAUUAAGUCUAUUAUAGAUUCCUAUUUGUGAUGCUAGAGGUUAAGGGGUUUCAUGGAGAUUUCCAUUUAAAUCCCUAUCUUUAUGGGAUUAGAAUACAGCCAUAAAAAUGUGCUCCCAGGCUGAAACUUGAUACACAAGGUCUUGGCCUGGGUGCAAAUGUUUUUAAAUUUUUUCAUAAAUAUCAUUAUAAAAUGUCUUUGUAAAAUAAAAAUUACAUUUAUUGGGUC
Molecule: long non-coding RNA, 1296 nt
Filed under: Monodelphis domestica (gray short-tailed opossum)
Lineage: Eukaryota; Metazoa; Chordata; Mammalia; Didelphimorphia; Didelphidae
Description: lncRNA (ENSMODG00000033330.2)
Source: RNAcentral